RNAcentral lists this microRNA precursor (95 nucleotides) under Marmota monax (woodchuck). The record is from RNAcentral. Lineage: Eukaryota; Metazoa; Chordata; Mammalia; Rodentia; Sciuridae.
AGAAGUAUCUCAAUAAUCUUAUUAAAACAUGGAUUGUAAUUCAGUGGUGUGGGUGAAGAUUCUACAUUUCUAAUAAACUUCCAAGGGAUGCUGAU